Molecule: ribosomal RNA, 604 nt
Filed under: Escherichia coli
Lineage: Bacteria; Pseudomonadati; Pseudomonadota; Gammaproteobacteria; Enterobacterales; Enterobacteriaceae
Description: partial 23S ribosomal RNA
Rfam family: Bacterial large subunit ribosomal RNA
Source: RNAcentral
CACACUAUCAUUAACUGAAUCCAUAGGUUAAUGAGGCGAACCGGGGGAACUGAAACAUCUAAGUACCCCGAGGAAAAGAAAUCAACCGAGAUUCCCCCAGUAGCGGCGAGCGAACGGGGAGGAGCCCAGAGCCUGAAUCAGUGUGUGUGUUAGUGGAAGCGUCUGGAAAGGCGCGCGAUACAGGGUGACAGCCCCGUACACAAAAAUGCACAUACUGUGAGCUCGAUGAGUAGGGCGGGACACGUGGUAUCCUGUCUGAAUAUGGGGGGACCAUCCUCCAAGGCUAAAUACUCCUGACUGACCGAUAGUGAACCAGUACCGUGAGGGAAAGGCGAAAAGAACCCCGGCGAGGGGAGUGAAAAAGAACCUGAAACCGUGUACGUACAAGCAGUGGGAGCCUCUUAAUGGGGUGACUGCGUACCUUUUGUAUAAUGGGUCAGCGACUUAUAUUCUGUAGCAAGGUUAACCGAAUAGGGGAGCCGAAGGGAAACCGAGUCUUAACUGGGCGUUAAGUUGCAGGGUAUAGACCCGAAACCCGGUGAUCUAGCUAUGGGCAGGUUGAAGGUUGGGUAACACUAACUGGAGGACCGAACCGACUAAUGUU